CCCUCUCCAAGCCAUUCACCUGCAAGUGGCCCUCCCAGCAGUCAAUACCAAAUGCUGCUGCUGGCUGAGCUGCCUGGGGUUGCAAGCGUGCUUUACAUCCAGAAAAAGCUCUGAUGUCCUGCCAGCAACAGAAAAGCAGUCUUCCAGAAGAAUCUCCUCCUUAGCUUGAGUGCUUCCAGGCUUCAGACAUGUCUGAGAUCAACUCACCUGAGAGGCCCAGAGGCAUAGAACCCCAAGGGAGGGCAUUCUACAGGAACCUACAAUGCCCAGGUUAGUGAGGCAACAGCAAGAUGGAAUGAAAAGACAGAAGACCUGGAUCUGGUGGAAGAAAGGACCCAUGAAGACAAAAGUGCCUCGGGCCCAUGAAAGUUAUAUAACGCAGACCUGGCUGAACGGUUCUGACUGAGGCUCUCUAGGGAGUUUUCGAUCAAGCUGUGGGCUGGG
RNAcentral lists this long non-coding RNA (444 nucleotides) under Equus caballus (horse). RNAcentral's name for it is "lncRNA (ENSECAG00000048814.1)". Lineage: Eukaryota; Metazoa; Chordata; Mammalia; Perissodactyla; Equidae. The record is from RNAcentral.